CCCGACCCUCGACGCCCCGACCCCGCCCGGUCACAUUCCGAACCCGGAAGCUAAGACUCUCAGCGCCGAUGGUACUGCAAGGGGGACCUUGUGGGAGAGUAGGACACCGCCGGACU
Molecule: ribosomal RNA, 116 nt
Filed under: Frigoribacterium sp. 9N
Lineage: Bacteria; Bacillati; Actinomycetota; Actinomycetes; Micrococcales; Microbacteriaceae
Source: RNAcentral